GUAUGUAUACAAGUUGCGCGCUCUCAUCGCGCAACUUGUAUACAUAAGUUGUAUGUAUACAACUUAUGUAUACAUGUAUGCAAUACAUGUAUUGCAUGUAUUGCAUACAUGCAAUACAUAC
This 121-nucleotide small RNA is filed under the name Poecilia formosa (Amazon molly). RNAcentral's name for it is "Clostridiales-1 RNA (ENSPFOG00000021654.1)". The record is from RNAcentral. Lineage: Eukaryota; Metazoa; Chordata; Actinopteri; Cyprinodontiformes; Poeciliidae.